This is a long non-coding RNA of Apus apus (common swift), 861 nucleotides long. RefSeq lists it as uncharacterized. The transcript is spliced from 3 exons. The record is from RefSeq and is a predicted model, not a curated record. NCBI's taxonomy places the organism in Eukaryota, Metazoa, Chordata, Aves, Apodiformes, Apodidae.
UUUCCACAGGCAGGAAGUGCUGUGUGAUGGCUCUGGGGGUGUGUGUGUACCCGGCUGCUCCCCCGGGUGGCUUCUGAGCCUGUUGCCUCAUUUCAGCCAAGUCUGGCAGGAGACAGAGGUUCAAAGAUGUCCACUCCCUACCAGGUAGUGAAGAUGCAAAGCCAUGAGCACUGCUGAGGUAGAGGGAUGCAGGGAAGAGUUACUGGCAGAGCCCCUGGUCCCUUUGAGGGUUGUCCUUGGGCAUUGCCUGCUCCUCUGGCCAUCCAGUUCGAGGGAUCCCGAGGGAGAGGGAGAGACCAGGAGAGAGGCUGGUUCUGACCCUGGCACUACGUGACACCACCUUGGAGUGAAAACCAGCUCCUCUGCUCCCUGCAGCCAACACCAGCACAUCCCGGCCUCAGCACACGCCAAAACCCCCCAGCAAAACAACCCAUGACAACAACCCAUACGUCGACUGAGCCACAUCCCCCUGGCUCCCCUCCCACAGCUCAGGAGGGACCAGACACCGGGAUAAACGCUGGUGCAGCCCAGAAAUUCAUCUGGUUUUAAGGCUGAGCCCCAGGUGGGGGUGGCCAGGAGCCCCACAACAACAUCCUGGGCAAGCUGUGCCGCUACCUGUGGGAAUGGGGCCACCAAGCAUCCUGCUCCUGGCAGUGGGGUUCACAAACCCUCUGCAGUUCUCCCAGCUUCUCAGACAUGUUAAUGAAAGAUCAGUUUCCAGGCACAGCUCUCGCUGGAGAUGACAGCAUUAGAGGUGCAUCUGUUUCCACUAAGCACCAGUCUCGUGCUGGGUUUGUUUGGCCUGUUUGUGGUGGGGAAGAGUGGCUUUCAGCACUCAGAGAUGUCUCAUGUCUGGGAGAA